Molecule: ribosomal RNA, 3140 nt
Filed under: Saccharomyces cerevisiae (brewer's yeast)
Lineage: Eukaryota; Fungi; Ascomycota; Saccharomycetes; Saccharomycetales; Saccharomycetaceae
Description: bacterial LSU rRNA
Rfam family: Bacterial large subunit ribosomal RNA
Source: RNAcentral
NAUAUGUAUUUCUAUAUUUUAUUUAUUAUUAUUAUAUAUAUAAGUAGUAAAAAGUAGAAUAAUAGAUUUGAAAUAUUUAUUAUAUAGAUUUAAAGAGAUAAUCAUGGAGUAUAAUAAUUAAAUUUAAUAAAUUUAAUAUAACUAUUAAUAGAAUUAGGUUACUAAUAAAUUAAUAACAAUUAAUUUUAAAACCUAAAGGUAAACCUUUAUAUUAAUAAUGUUAUUUUUUAUUAUAUUUAUAAUAAGAAUAAUUAUUAAUAAUAAUAAACUAAGUGAACUGAAACAUCUAAGUAACUUAAGGAUAAGAAAUCAACAGAGAUAUUAUGAGUAUUGGUGAGAGAAAAUAAUAAAGGUCUAAUAAGUAUUAUGUGAAAAAAAUGUAAGAAAAUAGGAUAACAAAUUCUAAGACUAAAUACUAUUAAUAAGUAUAGUAAGUACCGUAAGGGAAAGUAUGAAAAUGAUUAUUUUAUAAGCAAUCAUGAAUAUAUUAUAUUAUAUUAAUGAUGUACCUUUUGUAUAAUGGGUCAGCAAGUAAUUAAUAUAAGUAAAACAAUAAGUUAUAAAUAAAUAGAAUAAUAUAUAUAUAUAUAAAAAUAUAUUAAAAUAUUUAAUUAAUAUUAAUUGACCCGAAAGCAAACGAUCUAACUAUGAUAAGAUGGAUAAACGAUCGAACAGGUUGAUGUUGCAAUAUCAUCUGAUUAAUUGUGGUUAGUAGUGAAAGACAAAUCUGGUUUGCAGAUAGCUGGUUUUCUAUGAAAUAUAUGUAAGUAUAGCCUUUAUAAAUAAUAAUUAUUAUAUAAUAUUAUAUUAAUAUUAUAUAAAGAAUGGUACAGCAAUUAAUAUAUAUUAGGGAACUAUUAAAGUUUUAUUAAUAAUAUUAAAUCUCGAAAUAUUUAAUUAUAUAUAAUAAAGAGUCAGAUUAUGUGCGAUAAGGUAAAUAAUCUAAAGGGAAACAGCCCAGAUUAAGAUAUAAAGUUCCUAAUAAAUAAUAAGUGAAAUAAAUAUUAAAAUAUUAUAAUAUAAUCAGUUAAUGGGUUUGACAAUAACCAUUUUUUAAUGAACAUGUAACAAUGCACUGAUUUAUAAUAAAUAAAAAAAAAAAUAAUAUUUAAAAUCAAAUAUAUAUAUAUUUGUUAAUAGAUAAUAUACGGAUCUUAAUAAUAAGAAUUAUUUAAUUCCUAAUAUGGAAUAUUAUAUUUUUAUAAUAAAAAUAUAAAUACUGAAUAUCUAAAUAUUAUUAUUACUUUUUUUUUAAUAAUAAUAAUAUGGUAAUAGAACAUUUAAUGAUAAUAUAUAUUAGUUAUUAAUUAAUAUAUGUAUUAAUUAAAUAGAGAAUGCUGACAUGAGUAACGAAAAAAAGGUAUAAACCUUUUCACCUAAAACAUAAGGUUUAACUAUAAAAGUACGGCCCCUAAUUAAAUUAAUAAGAAUAUAAAUAUAUUUAAGAUGGGAUAAUCUAUAUUAAUAAAAAUUUAUCUUAAAAUAUAUAUAUUAUUAAUAAUUAUAUUAAUAANNNNNNNNNNAAUAAUAUAUAUAAUUAUAUUAUAUAUUUUUUUUUUAUAUAAUAUAAACUAAUAAAGAUCAGGAAAUAAUUAAUGUAUACCGUAAUGUAGACCGACUCAGGUAUGUAAGUAGAGAAUAUGAAGGUGAAUUAGAUAAUUAAAGGGAAGGAACUCGGCAAAGAUAGCUCAUAAGUUAGUCAAUAAAGAGUAAUAAGAACAAAGUUGUACAACUGUUUACUAAAAACACCGCACUUUGCAGAAACGAUAAGUUUAAGUAUAAGGUGUGAACUCUGCUCCAUGCUUAAUAUAUAAAUAAAAUUAUUUAACGAUAAUUUUAUUAAAUUUAGGUAAAUAGCAGCCUUAUAAUGAGGGUUAUAAUGUAGCGAAAUUCCUUGGCCUAUAAUUGAGGUCCCGCAUGAAUGACGUAAUGAUACAACAACUGUCUCCCCUUUAAGCUAAGUGAAAUUGAAAUCGUAGUGAAGAUGCUAUGUACCUUCAGCAAGACGGAAAGACCCUAUGCAGCUUUACUGUAAUUAGAUAGAUCGAAUUAUUGUUUAUUAUAUUCAGCAUAUUAAGUAAUCCUAUUAUUAGGUAAUCGUUUAGAUAUUAAUGAGAUACUUAUUAUAAUAUAAUGAUAAUUCUAAUCUUAUAAAUAAUUAUUAUUAUUAUUAUUAAUAAUAAUAAUAUGCUUUCAAGCAUAGUGAUAAAACAUAUUUAUAUGAUAAUCACUUUACUUAAUAGAUAAAAUUCUUAAGUAAUAUAUAAUAUAUAUUUUAUAAAUUAUAUAUAUAAUAUAAGAGACAAUCUCUAAUUGGUAGUUUUGAUGGGGCGUCAUUAUCAGCAAAAGUAUCUGAAUAAGUCCAUAAAUAAAUAUAUAAAAUUAUUGAAUAAAAAAAAUAAUAUAUAUUAUAUAUAUUAAUUAUAAAUUGAAAUAUGUUUAUAUAAAUUUAUAUUUAUUGAAUAUAUUUUAGUAAUAGAUAAAAAUAUGUACAGUAAAAUAGUAAGGAAAACAAUAAUAACUUUCUUAAAAAAAAUAAAAAUGGAAAGAAUUAAAUUAAUAUAAUGGUAUAACUGUGCGAUAAUUGUAACACAAACGAGUGAAACAAGUACGUAAGUAUGGCAUAAUGAACAAAUAACACUGAUUGUAAAGGUUAUUGAUAACGAAUAAAAGUUACGCUAGGGAUAACAGGGUAAUAUAACGAAAGAGUAGAUAUUGUAAGUUAUGUUUGCCACCUCGAUGUCGACUCAACAUUUCCUCUUGGUUGUAAAAGCUAAGAAGGGUUUGACUGUUCGUCAAUUAAAAUGUUACGUGAGUUGGGUUAAAUACGAUGUGAAUCAGUAUGGUUCCUAUCUGCUGAAGGAAAUAUUAUCAAAUUAAAUCUCAUUAUUAGUACGCAAGGACCAUAAUGAAUCAACCCAUGGUGUAUCUAUUGAUAAUAAUAUAAUAUAUUUAAUAAAAAUAAUACUUUAUUAAUAUAUUAUCUAUAUUAGUUUAUAUUUUAAUUAUAUAUUAUCAUAGUAGAUAAGCUAAGUUGAUAAUAAAUAAAUAUUGAAUACAUAUUAAAUAUGAAGUUGUUUUAAUAAGAUAAUUAAUCUGAUAAUUUUAUACUAAAAUUAAUAAUUAUAGGUUUUAUAUAU